CCUACGUGAGGCAGCAGUGGGGAAUAUUGCGCAAUGGGCGAAAGCCUGACGCCGCGACGCCGCGUGAGGGAUGAAGGUCUUCGGAUCGUAAACCUCUGUCAGCAGGGAAGAACGGUCACUGUGCUAAUCAGCAGUGAAUUGACGGUACCUGCAAAGGAAGCACCGGCUAACUCCGUGCCAGCAGCCGCGGUAAUACGGAGGGUGCGAGCGUUAAUCGGAAUUACUGGGCGUAAAGCGCUCGUAGGCGGUAUGUCAAGUCAAGGGUGAAAUCCCCGCGCUCAACGUGGGAACUGCCUUUGAAACUGGCAAACUGGAGUGUGUGAGAGGAUAGUGGAAUUCCAGGUGUAGGAGUGAAAUCCGUAGAUAUCUGGAGGAACAUCAGUGGCGAAGGCGACUAUCUGGCACAUAACUGACGCUGAGGAGCGAAAGCGUGGGUAGCAAACAGGAUUAGAUACCCCAGUAGUC
Molecule: ribosomal RNA, 465 nt
Filed under: uncultured bacterium
Lineage: Bacteria
Description: partial 16S ribosomal RNA
Rfam family: Bacterial small subunit ribosomal RNA
Source: RNAcentral